This is a small nucleolar RNA of Gasterosteus aculeatus aculeatus (three-spined stickleback), 84 nucleotides long. Lineage: Eukaryota; Metazoa; Chordata; Actinopteri; Perciformes; Gasterosteidae. The record is from Ensembl.
UACAAAUGAUGUUUUUCUCACGAUGGUCUUCCAAGCCCUCUGGGUGCUGACGACAAUGCCUAACGGCAACACUGAUGUAUUGGC